UACCUCAUGACGAUGACAAUAACUGGAAGCGGAAUUACAACCGUUAGGUACAUUUUAUAAUGCAAACAUGUGUGUCACCGGAACGUAGAUCAGCCUAUAAAAUAAGAUGCAGCAUCCUUCGAAGAUUAAACCGGGUCAAACGCUUAAGCCUAACAUUUUGAAAUUAAACAAUGGCUCCGAUAAGAAUACUUUUCAGUUUGUUAUUCUUGUUGUUUGCACUUUUUGUUCAAUCUCAGCCGAUAGAUUCCGAGUUAAUGGAAACAGCUGAAUCGCAGAAUCCGUUUCUGCCGCGUUUUGCAAUGAAAAAGCUAAAGGAGAGACGGGAGAGAGUUCGGGCUCAAAGAAGGAAUUAUCAGAAUCAAAGGAGCUUCCAGCCUUAUUACAACCCAAGGUGGUCUCAAGCAUACCCAUAUUAUUAUUAAAAAUGAAGACGCACAUAAUUAUAAUCCUAGUUUUUGGACUCUCUGCAUACGCGAAAACCAUAGCUGAGGUGAUCGCAGAAACGGAAAAUGGAGCACAGACUACAGACAGUUUCAACGACCCACAGACAACAGAGAAUAGUUUUGUGACAUCGGAACCAGAAAUUGAUUUAAAUUUAAAAAACGUUGAUGCUAGUAUGGAAAUCGUAAUUGAAGAGAACGUAAAAACGCCGUAUAAUUUACUUAAUGAAGCUGAGACCGACUUCGAUUUGGGCGAGGUAUCACCCAAUGAUGGUGACUU
This is a long non-coding RNA of Pieris napi, 720 nucleotides long. RefSeq lists it as uncharacterized. NCBI's taxonomy places the organism in Eukaryota, Metazoa, Arthropoda, Insecta, Lepidoptera, Pieridae. The record is from RefSeq and is a predicted model, not a curated record. The transcript is spliced from 2 exons.